This 492-nucleotide ribosomal RNA is filed under the name uncultured bacterium. RNAcentral describes it as "partial 16S ribosomal RNA". It matches the Rfam family "Bacterial small subunit ribosomal RNA", at positions 29 to 507 of the family's 1533-position model. The record is from RNAcentral.
AGUGAACGCUGGCGGUAGGCCUAAUACAUGCAAGUCGAACGGCAGCACAGUAAGAGCUUGCUCUUACGGGUGGCGAGUGGCGGACGGGUGAGGAAUACAUCGGAAUCUACUUUUUCGUGGGGGAUAACGUAGGGAAACUUACGCUAAUACCGCAUACGACCUACGGGUGAAAGCAGGGGAUCUUCGGACCUUGCGCGAUUGAAUGAGCCGAUGUCGGAUUAGCUAGUUGGCGGGGUAAAGGCCCACCAAGGCGACGAUCCGUAGCUGGUCUGAGAGGAUGAUCAGCCACACUGGAACUGAGACACGGUCCAGACUCCUACGGGAGGCAGCAGUGGGGAAUAUUGGACAAUGGGCGCAAGCCUGAUCCAGCCAUACCGCGUGGGUGAAGAAGGCCUUCGGGUUGUAAAGCCCUUUUGUUGGGAAAGAAAAGCAGCAGGUUAAUACCCCGCUGUUCUGACGGUACCCAAAGAAUAAGCAUCGGCUAACUUCGUG